AUGGGUGAUGUUGAGAAAGGCAAGAAGGUUUUUGUUCAGAAGUCCGCCCAGUGUCACACCAUGGAAAAGGGAGGCAAAAGCGCAAGACUGGGCUAAUCUGGGUGGUCUCUUUGGGCGGAAGACAGGUCAGGCCGUUGGAUUCUCUUACACAGAUGCCCAUAAGAACAAAGCAUCACCUGGGGAAAAGGAUACACUGAUGGAGUAUUUGGAGAAUCUCCAAAAGUACAUUCCUGGAACAAAAAUGAUCUUUUCCGGCAUUAAGAAGAAGACAGAAAGGGCAGAGUUCAUAGCUUAUCUCAAAAAAAGCUACUAA
This 313-nucleotide long non-coding RNA is filed under the name Homo sapiens (human). RNAcentral describes it as "non-protein coding lnc-SPANXN1-1:1". Lineage: Eukaryota; Metazoa; Chordata; Mammalia; Primates; Hominidae. The record is from RNAcentral.